UUGAAGAUCCAUUCAUCACUGUUCUUCAAGAUCAAGCCCAAAAGCCCUUGAAGAUCUGUUCAUCACUGUUCUUCAAGAUCAAGCUCAAAAGCCCUUGAAGAUCCGCUCAUCACCGUUAUUCAAGAUCAAGCCUCAACGGCCCUUGAAGAAACACUCAUCCUCAAGAUCAAGCCCCAACGGCUCCUUGAAGAUCCGCUCAAAUCCACUUUCCAAGAUCAAGCCUCGACGGCCCUUGGAUCAAUCACACAUCAACAAAUACACACCUUACAGAGACCGAAUCAGAGGAUCAAAUUUGAGAGAGAUUGUAACCCAAAAUCAUCAAAUACAAAUAUUUGUUUGUGCACGUUAUUCUUGUCUCUUUCGUUUCAGGAAUUUUCCGUGUUCACAAAUACCUCCGUUAGAUUUUCCAUCCAUUGGUCUGUUAAAUGCUAACGUGGCUACCACAUUUAUGUUGAUGUUAUUGCCACAUGGCAAAAAAAACAAUUUUUUUAUACAUUAAAAAUAUUAUAAUAUUAACCCUAUUAAAAAAAAAACCAAAAAAAACCCGAACCCAGAUCCCUAUCCUUCCCCUCACCUCUCUGCAACUCCCAUUUACAAAAUGCCACAACACCAACACCCUAAAAGGAGCUGGCUCUCUUCUUCGUCGUUGAUGGGAGGCAAAGGCAUACGAUUUUUCAAGUUGUUGGCUGUGAUUUUCUGGAACACCAAUCCCUUCUUCAUUAGAUUUGACGACGACGUCGUCAUCAUCUCAGCUUCAUUUAUUUCUUUCUUUCUUUUUUGUGAUGCGUCCAUCUCAACCUCCCCAAGCAACUUGGUCGCAACAUUGCUGCAGGCCAUGGUGAACAGUUCCACUCGAAAAUUCGUCCAAUUUGCGCGAGAGACUGAGGAAUCAGACCUCGUAGUUUGGAUUUGGUUUGAGUUCAUGAUCCACAAAGAGGCUGCCUGAAGGAAGAUUUGUGAAAAACAUGUUCAUUUAAGCAACAUCUAUUAGCAUGCAAUUAACAAUUAAAGGCGGAAUCAUGCUUGCAUGAACUUAAAAACAAAACAUUAACCAUGAAAUUCAAAGCCUAGUAGAUUGGUGAA
This 1083-nucleotide long non-coding RNA is filed under the name Malus domestica (apple). Its description in RNAcentral is "long non-coding RNA (MDOM_LNC009198)". The record is from RNAcentral. Lineage: Eukaryota; Viridiplantae; Streptophyta; Magnoliopsida; Rosales; Rosaceae.